Molecule: long non-coding RNA, 225 nt
Filed under: Vigna radiata
Lineage: Eukaryota; Viridiplantae; Streptophyta; Magnoliopsida; Fabales; Fabaceae
Description: long non-coding RNA (VRAD_LNC000561)
Source: RNAcentral
UUUUGUGCAGCUGCAGCGUCUUCAGUAGGAAGAUGUAGAAGUUCUCCUUUUUGCGUGCCACUCUCAUUCUGUGACACUUCAUUUAAAGCCAUCUCUUCAAUCAAGUUGUACGCCUCAUCUUCAGUUUUUCUAUUAAGACUGCCUCCAGCUGAGGCAUCUAACAUCAUUUUAGAAUGAGCGCGCAAGCCUCCAAGGAACGCAAGCAAGUAUGAAGUUUUAUCGAAC